UCCUGGUCAGUGAAACUGAUCUACCCGUGCAGAAGCGGGUAUGAAUAUACAAGACGAGAAGACCCUAUGGAGCUUUAGACGCCCACCAAUCACGAAAAGCAGGUCUCGCUCAACGGACCCCCAAACAACGUGAUACUGGCACAAACGUCUUCGGUUGGGGCGACCGCGGGAGAGAAAAAAGCUCCCGAGAGGAUUGGGGCUACCCUAAAACCAAGAGCUACACCUCUAAGUC
Molecule: ribosomal RNA, 232 nt
Filed under: Clupea pallasii (Pacific herring)
Lineage: Eukaryota; Metazoa; Chordata; Actinopteri; Clupeiformes; Clupeidae
Description: partial 16S ribosomal RNA
Source: RNAcentral